UACGAAGGGUGCAAGCGUUACUCGGAAUUACUGGGCGUAAAGCGUGCGUAGGCGGUUUCUUAAGUCCGUUGUGAAAGCCCUGGGCUCAACCUGGGAAUGGCAGUGGAUACUGGGGAACUGGAGUGCGGUAGAGGAGGGUGGAAUUCCCGGUGUAGCGGUGAAAUGCGUAGAGAUCGGGAGGAACACCAGUGGCGAAGGCGGCCCUCUGGACCAGCACUGACGCUGAGGCACGAAAGCGUGGGGAGCAAACAGG
RNAcentral lists this ribosomal RNA (253 nucleotides) under uncultured bacterium. Its description in RNAcentral is "partial 16S ribosomal RNA". It matches the Rfam family "Bacterial small subunit ribosomal RNA", at positions 524 to 776 of the family's 1533-position model. The record is from RNAcentral.